This 944-nucleotide ribosomal RNA is filed under the name uncultured archaeon. Its description in RNAcentral is "bacterial SSU rRNA". It matches the Rfam family "Archaeal small subunit ribosomal RNA", at positions 1 to 922 of the family's 1478-position model. The record is from RNAcentral.
UCCGGUUGAUCCUGCCGGACCCUACUGCUACCGGGGUGGGACUAAGACAUGCGAGUUGUGCGUCUCUAAGCUAUGGUAGAGACGCGGCGUACGGCUCAGUAACACGUGGCUAACCUACCCUUAGGACGGGGACAACCCCGGGAAACUGGGGCUAAUACCCGAUAGGUGAGGAGGCCUGGAAUGGUUCCUAGUCGAAAAGGCGUUGAAACCAUGCUUUUCGACGUCGCCUAAGGAUGGGGCCGCGCCCGAUCAGGUUGUUGGUGGGGUAACGGCUCACCAAGCCUAUAACCGGUACGGGCCGUGAGAGCGGGAGCCCGGAGAUGGGCACUGAGGCAAGGGCCCAGGCCCUACGGGGCGCAGCAGUCGCGAAAACUCCGCAAUGCGCGAAAGCGUGACGGGGCUACCCCGAGUGCCGUCCGCUGAGGAUGGCUUUUCCCCGGUGUAAUGAGCCGGGGGAAUAAGGAGAGGGCAAGUCUGGUGUCAGCCGCCGCGGUAAUACCAGCUCUCCGAGUGGUAGGGAUGAUUAUUGGGCUUAAAGCGUCCGUAGCCGGCUUGGCAAGUCUCCUGUUAAAUUCAGCGACCUAAUCGUUGAGCCGCGGGAGAUACUACUAGGCUAGGAGGCGGGAGAGGCCGACGGUAUUCUCGGGGUAGGGGUGAAAUCCUAUAAUCCCGGGAGGACCACCAGUGGCGAAGGCUGUCGGCUAGAACGCGCUCGACGGUGAGGGACGAAAGCUGGGGGAGCGAACCGGAUUAGAUACCCGGGUAGUCCCAGCUGUAAACGAUGCGGGCUAGGUGUUGGGGUGGCUACGAGCCACUUCAGUGCCGCAGGGAAGCCGUUAAGCCCGCCGCCUGGGGAGUACGGCCGCAAGGCUGAAACUUAAAGGAAUUGGCGGGGGAGCACCACAAGGCGUGAAGCUUGCGGUUCAAUUGGAGUCAACGCCGGG